RNAcentral lists this ribosomal RNA (679 nucleotides) under uncultured cyanobacterium. RNAcentral's name for it is "bacterial SSU rRNA". It matches the Rfam family "Bacterial small subunit ribosomal RNA", at positions 221 to 916 of the family's 1533-position model. The record is from RNAcentral. Lineage: Bacteria; Bacillati; Cyanobacteriota.
GAGGAUGAGCCCGCGUCUGAUUAGCUUGUUGGUGGGGUAAUGGCCUACCAAGGCGACGAUCAGUAGCUGGUCUGAGAGGAUGAUCAGCCACACUGGGACUGAGACACGGCCCAGACUCCUACGGGAGGCAGCAGUGGGGAAUUUUCCGCAAUGGGCGAAAGCCUGACGGAGCAACGCCGCGUGGGUGAUGAAGGCCCUUGGGUCGUAAAACCCUUUUGUCGGGGACGAUAAUGACGGUACCCGAUGAAUAAGCAUCGGCUAACUCUGUGCCAGCAGCCGCGGUAAUACAGAGGAUGCAAGCGUUAUCCGGAAUUAUUGGGCGUAAAGCGUACGUAGGCGGCUAUUCAAGUCUGGGGUUAAAGCCCGCAGCUCAACUGCGGAAAGGCCUCGGAAACUGGAUGGCUAGAGUGCGGUAGAGGCAAGGGGAAUUCCCGGUGUAGCGGUGAAAUGUGGAGAUAUCGGGAAGAACACCAGCGGCGAAAGCGCCUUGCUGGACCGCAACUGACGCUGAGGUACGAAAGCCAGGGGAGCAAAUGGGAUUAGAUACCCCAGUAGUCCUGGCCGUAAACGAUGGACACUAGGUGUUGCGCGUAUCGACCCGUGCAGUGCCGUAGCUAACGCGUUAAGUGUCCCGCCUGGGGAGUACGCACGCAAGUGUGAAACUCAAAGGAAUUGACGG